RNAcentral lists this ribosomal RNA (531 nucleotides) under uncultured bacterium. RNAcentral's name for it is "bacterial SSU rRNA". It matches the Rfam family "Bacterial small subunit ribosomal RNA", at positions 979 to 1509 of the family's 1533-position model. The record is from RNAcentral.
CCUUGACAUACUAAGAACUUUCCAGAGAUGGAUUGGUGCCUUCGGGAACUUAGAUACAGGUGCUGCAUGGCUGUCGUCAGCUCGUGUCGUGAGAUGUUGGGUUAAGUCCCGNAACGAGCGCAACCCUUUUCCUUAUUUGCCAGCGGGUCAUGCCGGGAACUUUAAGGAUACUGCCAGUGACAAACUGGAGGAAGGCGGGGACGACGUCAAGUCAUCAUGGCCCUUACGGCCAGGGCUACACACGUGCUACAAUGGUCGGUACAAAGGGUUGCUACCUCGCGAGAGGAUGCUAAUCUCAAAAAGCCGAUCGUAGUCCGGAUCGCAGUCUGCAACUCGACUGCGUGAAGUCGGAAUCGCUAGUAAUCGCGGAUCAGAAUGCCGCGGUGAAUACGUUCCCGGGCCUUGUACACACCGCCCGUCACACCAUGGGAGUUUGUUGCACCAGAAGUAGGUAGUCUAACCGCAAGGAGGACGCCUACCACGGUGUGGCCGAUGACUGGGGUGAAGUCGUAACAAGGUAAGCGUAGAUGA